UAUCUCUGCAGAACACGAUGCUUACCAGCUAUUUUGCUUAACAUACAUUUACAUCAGGAUGAGGGGAAAGCAGGAGGAAAAUAAGACUUUUCUUGAGGGCAAACUGGAGAAGCUCAUCACCUGCUUGUGAUAUGCAAACACCAAGAAUAAAAAUGCAGAAGGAGGGGGAAGUGGUAUGACAGAAGAACCAAACAUUUGAAGGGUUCUGCUGGUGAAAUUCCAAGGAGAGGCAUCGUGGGCUCAUCAGUGACAGCACUCAGCUAAAUCUCAUACUGCAUUCGUUUCACAGAUUGUACUAACUUCUUCAGCCCCAUACUCUUAUUAAAUCUUGCCCUCCGGGAUUGUUGCCAUUUUUAA
This is a long non-coding RNA of Hemicordylus capensis (graceful crag lizard), 357 nucleotides long. RefSeq lists it as uncharacterized. NCBI's taxonomy places the organism in Eukaryota, Metazoa, Chordata, Lepidosauria, Squamata, Cordylidae. The transcript has 2 exons. The record is from RefSeq and is a predicted model, not a curated record.